RNAcentral lists this ribosomal RNA (468 nucleotides) under uncultured bacterium. RNAcentral describes it as "partial 16S ribosomal RNA". It matches the Rfam family "Bacterial small subunit ribosomal RNA", at positions 28 to 507 of the family's 1533-position model. The record is from RNAcentral.
GACGAACGCUGGCGGCGUGCUUAACACAUGCAAGUCGAACGGAAAGGCCCUGCUGUUGUCGGGUGCUCGAGUGGCGAACGGGUGAGUAACACGAGCGUACCCUGACCUUGACUUUGGGAUAACUAAAGGAGACUGAGGCCAAUACCGGAUAGGAGCCCCAGCUCCAGGGUGGGGGUUGGAAAGUUUCGGCGGUUGGGGAUGGAGUCGCGGCUUAUCGGCUUGUUGGUGGGGUAGGGGCUGACCAAGGCUUUGACCGGUAGCCGGCCGGGGUGGGUGGCCGGCGACAUUGGGACUACGAUACGACGCGGACGCGAACGGGGGACAAUAGUGGGAAGUAUGACACAGUGAUGCGGCGCCUGAGACAGCGGCGUCGCGGGCGUGAUGACGUCCUGCGCGUUGUAAACCGCUUUCGGCUGUGACGUAGCGUGGGUGACGGUAAUGGGAGAAGAAGCACCGGCUAACUACGUG